Molecule: long non-coding RNA, 417 nt
Organism: Maniola jurtina (meadow brown)
Lineage: Eukaryota; Metazoa; Arthropoda; Insecta; Lepidoptera; Nymphalidae
Exons: 2
Source: RefSeq, a predicted model, not a curated record
GCAGCACUGCUACUGUCUAUUAUUGGCAUGCUCAAAAGAGAUAGAAUCCAGAGCCUUAAAACCAGUUCAAAAAAACUACUAUUGACAUAUUGACCUCGUCCUCCCGCCUCUCGAAUAAAUAGCAGAUAAAAGGCACAAUUUGAACAAUUUCCUCAGUAUUUUACCUUUUUAUAAUCAAAUGUAUCUAAUAUUCGUAAUAAAUUAUAAUUAGAAUUUAAACUCUAAGAAAAAAUGCAUGAAGGAGUAAUAAGAGAUAAGGAAAGGCAACAGAGAAGAAAAAUUGAAAAUCUUUACAUACUGGAAAAGCAGAAUGAAUUGACAAAAAAGCUUAAAAAAGACUUGGAAAACUCAUAAAAAUAAUAACUUGAACAUUGCUAAAACUAUUUACUAUGAUUUAUUAAUAUAGUAUUAAAAGAA